Oncorhynchus keta (chum salmon) is the source of this 393-nucleotide long non-coding RNA. RefSeq lists it as uncharacterized. The record is from RefSeq and is a predicted model, not a curated record. The transcript is spliced from 3 exons. Lineage: Eukaryota; Metazoa; Chordata; Actinopteri; Salmoniformes; Salmonidae.
AUGUGUUUGAACCAAGCGUCCUGCUACCAGAGAGGCAGAGCCAGCAUCUGUGUGUGUCCAACUGGAUACACUGGACAGCGCUGCGAGACAGAUGUUGAUGAAUGCCAGUCCAACCCAUGUCGUAAUGGAGCCACCUGUAUGGACGGAGUCAACUCCUUCACCUGUUUGUGUCUACCCAGCUACACAGGAGGGCUCUGUGAACAAGGAACAAGACCAGGAACCAGACCUGGAACAAGACCAGGAACCAGACCAGGAACCAUGCCAACCCAGGCAGGAGAGACUGUAGGAGACCACCCUGGACAUCACACAGACUCUUCUACACAGCACAGAGACCACUCCCGCCAACCUGCCACACAGGAGAAAGAUCUCUCCACUCAUACUAAAGCUCAGACC